RNAcentral lists this ribosomal RNA (500 nucleotides) under uncultured bacterium. RNAcentral describes it as "partial 16S ribosomal RNA". It matches the Rfam family "Bacterial small subunit ribosomal RNA", at positions 30 to 523 of the family's 1533-position model. The record is from RNAcentral.
AUUGAACGCUGGCGGCAUGCCUUACACAUGCAAGUCGAACGGCAGCACGGGAGCAGUCCUGGUGGCGAGUGGCGAACGGGUGAGUAAUGUAUCGGAACGUGCCCAGUCGUGGGGGAUAACGUAGCGAAAGCUACGCUAAUACCGCAUACGAUCUAUGGAUGAAAGCGGGGGACCGUAAGGCCUCGCGCGAUUGGAGCGGCCGAUAUCAGAUUAGGUAGUUGGUGGGGUAAAGGCCUACCAAGCCGACGAUCUGUAGCUGGUCUGAGAGGACGACCAGCCACACUGGGACUGAGACACGGCCCAGACUCCUACGGGAGGCAGCAGUGGGGAAUUUUGGACAAUGGGCGCAAGCCUGAUCCAGCAAUGCCGCGUGCAGGGUGAAGGCCUUCGGGUUGUAAACUGCUUUUGUACGGAGCGAAAAGGCUCUCUCUAAUACAGGGGGCUCAUGACGGUACCGUAAGAAUAAGCACCGGCUAACUACGUGCCAGCCGCCGCCGUAA